Molecule: long non-coding RNA, 544 nt
Organism: Zonotrichia leucophrys gambelii
Lineage: Eukaryota; Metazoa; Chordata; Aves; Passeriformes; Passerellidae
Exons: 4
Source: RefSeq, a predicted model, not a curated record
GAAAGAGAAGAAACCUUUGGAAGCUUCAUCUGUGGUCUGAAAGCCAAAGCUCUGCCUUUGCUGCUCUCUGCCUCAUCAGCCGUGAAGGUUUUGCAGGGAGAGCUGAGCUGAUGCCAGUGCUGCUGCCUGAGAUGAGAGCACCCCUGAGGCUGCUCCUGGGCCAGGUCACUGUGGCCAGCCCAAAGUUCACUGCUGUGUACAAAGGUCCAGGUGCUCUUUGCUCUCUGCUCCAAGGAGAUCCUCUUCACAGCAGGAAGCCUGCCCAGAGUCAUCCUGUGGGACUUAGCUCUUCAGUGAAACCACAAAUCCAGAAGAGUGGGGGGAGUCCAGUUCAGGGAACAACAUCUGUUGGGACCACUGAACAAAGGACAGAGAUAUUUCAGAGGAAGACUCUUUCAUGGUGUUUCUGAUGGAAAAAUCAACACUUUGCCCCCGCUGUUUAAAAUGUGCCAUCACUGGCCAAGCAUUGUCUGUUCUGCCAAGGAGCUCCCAUGGGCUGCUUCCCCAGGUAAGUGGAAGCUGCUUGGAGCCUUCCAAAGGCACU